GAUGAACGCUGGCGGCGUGCUUAACACAUGCAAGUCGAACGAUGAAGCCCAGCUUGCUGGGUAGAUUAGUGGCGAACGGGUGAGUAACACGUGAGUAACCUGCCCUUAACUCUGGGAUAAGCCUGGGAAACUGGGUCUAAUACCGGAUAGGAGCGUCCACCGCAUGGUGGGUGUUGGAAAGAUUUAUCGGUUUUGGAUGGACUCGCGGCCUAUCAGGUUGUUGGUGAGGUGAUGGCUCACCAAGGCGACGACGGGUAGCCGGCCUGAGAGGGUGACCGGCCAAACUGGGACUGGGACACGGCCCAGCCUCCUACGGGAGGCAGCAGUGGGGAAUAUUGCACAAUGGGCGAGAGCCUGAUGCAGCGACGCCGCGUGGGGGAUGACGGCCUUCGGGUUGUAAACAUCUUUCAGUAGGGAAGAAGCGAAAGUGACGGUACCUGCAGAAGAAGCACCGGCUAACUACGUGCCAGCAGCCGCCGUAA
Molecule: ribosomal RNA, 482 nt
Filed under: uncultured bacterium
Lineage: Bacteria
Description: partial 16S ribosomal RNA
Rfam family: Bacterial small subunit ribosomal RNA
Source: RNAcentral